CCUACGGGCGGCAGCAGUGGGGGAUAUUGCACAAUGGGGGAAACCCUGAUGCAGCGACGCCGCGUGAGUGAAGAAGUAUUUCGGUAUGUAAAGCUCUAUCAGCAGGGAAGAAAAUGACAGUACCUGACCAAGAAGCCCCGGCUAACUACGUGCCAGCAGCCGCGGUAAUACGUAGGGGGCAAGCGUUAGCCGGAUUUACUGGGUGUAAAGGGAGCGUAGACGGUUAUGUAAGUCUGGAGUGAAAGCCCGGGGCCCAACCCCGGGACUGCUUUGGAAACUGUGGAACUGGAGUACAGGAGGGGCAGGCGGAAUUCCUGGGGUAGCGGUGAAAUGCGUAGAUAUCAGGAGGAACACCGGCGGCGAAGGCGGCCUGCUGGACUGAAACUGACGCUGAGGCACGAAGGCCAGGGGAGCGAAAGGGAUUAGAUACCCUUGUAGUC
This 440-nucleotide ribosomal RNA is filed under the name uncultured bacterium. RNAcentral's name for it is "partial 16S ribosomal RNA". It matches the Rfam family "Bacterial small subunit ribosomal RNA", at positions 338 to 795 of the family's 1533-position model. The record is from RNAcentral.